AGCGAACGCUGGCGGCAGGCCUAACACAUGCAAGUCGAACGAACCUUUCGGGGUUAGUGGCGGACGGGUGAGUAACACGUGGGAACGUGCCUUUAGGUUCGGAAUAACUCAGGGAAACUUGUGCUAAUACCGAAUGUGCCCUUCGGGGGAAAGAUUAAUCGCCUUUAGAGCGGCCCGCGUCUGAUUAGCUAGUUGGUUGAGGUAAUGGCUCACCAAGGCGACGAUCAGUAGCUGGUCUGAGAGGAUGAUCAGCCACAUUGGGACUGAGACACGGCCCAAACUCCUCCGGAGGCAGCAGUGGGGAAUCUUGCGCAAUGGGCGAAAGCCUGACGCAGCCAUGCCGCGUGAAUGAUGAAGGUCUUAGGAUUGUAAAAUUCUAUCACCGGGGACGAUAAUGACGGUACCCGGAGAAGAAGCCCCGGCUAACUUCGUG
Molecule: ribosomal RNA, 433 nt
Filed under: uncultured bacterium
Lineage: Bacteria
Description: partial 16S ribosomal RNA
Rfam family: Bacterial small subunit ribosomal RNA
Source: RNAcentral